GUUUACUGUUUUGUAUAGUAGAGGUAGUAGCGUGAUCACGUAAGCUAGACGACAUCCAGGUGCCCCGUCGGGGUGAGAGGGAAUAGAAGAGAACGAGACGGAAUAGAAGAGGGUGCUACUUAAAGAGGGUUUAGGAAAGAGAGUAGGUGGAGCAGUGGUGGAGUUUUAGGUAGAGAGAGAACGAGGGAGUGUUUUAGGCUGCUCGAGGUCGGCCGGCAAGAGGAGAAAGGAGAACCUAGGGGUAGGGGGAGGCCGCUGCUCGAGGUGUGUGCGGCGUCGGCGACGUAGGGGUAGCCGAAAGAGGGGCCGUCAUGUAUGCCGACGUCGAGCGUGACGACGUUCCCCCGCCCCGGCUCUUCCUCGCCUCAGCGACAACACUCCAACGACGACGAUCGGUACUUGCGGUACCGGCGGCGGAGGGGGAGUAGACCAGCACCGCGACCUCGUCCGCCACCUUUGCUACCGGAGGCCACGAUGUUGGCCACUCAGAAAAACGACCUUGGCCGGCCGUUUUUUCGAAGUUGGUGUGACUGGUCACGACCUUGGUCCGUUAGCAGCUCAUCAAAAACGACGGUGGAGGAAAGAAACGAUGUUGACCGUCCUAAAAAACGACCUAGGCAGCUCUUUAAAACAACGCUGGUAGCCGCCGCUACGUACAAAACGAUGUUGCUCGUGCUGCUACACGAUGGUAGCCGUGACCACAAAAAACGAAGCUCUAACAAAACGACCUUGGUCACAAAAGAAAACGACCUUGACCGAUUACACAAACUAUGUUAGCUAGUAGCCUCAAAAAACGACGACCCUAAAAACGACCUUGGUGAUAAUUCAAAACGACCUUCACCGUUUAUAAAAACAAAGUUGCCUCAUGGCUUCAAAAAACAAUGAAAUCUAAAAAAAAACGACCUCUACUGCCACGUUCAGCUGCUGCCGCCACUCGGCCUCUGCUCCUGCAGCCCUACGACGUUGGUACCACUACCGCGAGACCUGGGAAGAACACAAGCUCGACGUUGGUACCACUCACCUCCGUCGGUUCCGCUCGUGUCACCGUGCCCAGCGGCCGCUCGCGCCUACCGGCCGCACCACCGUGCUCAGCGGCCGUUCGAGCCCAUCGGCUCCUGUUCGCUCCGCCGGCCGCUCGAACGUGCCUCACCCCGUACGCGCGUGCGAGUGAAAAAGGACUAGACGAAAAAAGACGCACACAAAUGAAAUACCCCUGCUUCAAUUAAAAUUAGACUGCCAACUUUUUCUGAGAUAGCCCGCAUGUGCGUCGCUGGCCGGGUUUUCAACCCGGCCAGGCGGCCGCGGAUACUCGCGGGUUUUCUAUAACGGUGAAUUGUAAUUUUAUAUACAACGCAACAUAAUUGUUCAAAUUACUUUCUCCGAUCACGGAGCGAUAUUUUGUUUAGUGGCGUAUGUUCGUUCAGGUUAACUACUGCUUUCUCGUUUUCUUUUACAUCUUCAAGUUUCUCCUUAUCUUUAUCUGAUGUACGACUUCGCAGUCGAAUUAUGUUCGGGUUUUGUGUCUUGGCUGCCUUUAGAUCCAGGAACACCAAGGAUCAGUUCCCUAGCUACCGAUCCCGGCCGGGACUCCCCUCCGUCCCCCCUGCCAGCGGGGCCCGGGGGUUUUAUAACCCCGGGGGAGGUUCCAUACGUGCGUCCCCGCAUCGUUGCGUGCAUUGUCUAUCGUCGGGUACUGGUGCUCAGAAGAAACAAAAACGUAAAAGGAAACGCUAACUAGUAUCCGGGUGUAGUGGGGGCGUCUCUAGAUGAGGGAGGUAAGCCACUUCUAACAUGUAGAUCUUUAAAAUUCUAUUUAAUAUCUCAACUCAUUUUUUACGUAACCUUUCCACGUUCGGUGGCAGAGAGAGGAGAAAUUAAUGGGUUGGGUAUUACUCGAUUCAGAUACAUCUUUAUUUCUUCUGGUCUACAUCUAACGAUAACCAGAAUUAAUGGCACACUACUCUUUCUUUAUAAAAAGAGGUAAAAUUUCACGUAACCUUUCUAUCUUCAUGUGAAAAAAUACCUGUUUAAAAUUUCAAUCUACAUGUGAGAAGUGGCCUGCCCCUCUCUCAUAUGAAUCGGACCUACUCGCGUGUCCCCCGUAUUGGUAGCGGUGGCUUCGGAACAAAGAAGCCGUCAGGUGCGGAUUAAGGGCAGGGUUAGCCGUUGGCGCAGUUCCACUGUCAACGGCUACAGCGCCGCUGCCUCCUCCUCGUACGUUUAUCCGAGCAGUCCGCCAUUCCUACCUUAACUAAGACCAUCCCCAACAUAUACCUAAGGCAUCAGGUGCGGUUUGAGGUCAAAGUAAGCGAGGAAAGAUUGACUACUUAGACCAUGCCAACAAACCUAGAACUCUAUGAUAGAAAAAAAAAACUCCUAGAACUCUAUGAUAGAAUUGAACGAAUGAGGGCCGUCUUUCUUAACGUCAACCGUGCUCGUCCUAAAAGCGAACCGUAAGUUUUUAACCCUCGGUAAUACAGUAACAAACUAAUGUUUUUAACCUUAUACCCUCCUACAUAUACAGAGGAUUUAGUUCUAAUUAGUUAAUCUAGAGGCCCUAUUUUCACCUAUCUUUUUCUACGAAAACCAGGACGUCCAGAAUGUUCUAUAAAGAUUACGAAGUCUUUUUUUGUAAAAUAGUUCUUACUGUACAUAUUCCUUCGGGAGGCACACGACUACUACGAGCUCCAUACGACGGAAACAGGAUGAUAUUCUUCUAUACGUAUAACUGGUUCUUGUUAAACUCUCGAAAUUUACAAGGAUGUCUCCAAUUUAUCAAUCGUUGAAUUAUGUCAUUCUUAGUAGGUGUUGAAACGUAGAUACUCACAAUUUGUCUUUGAACCUCCAUGUACAUAUAUCUAAUACACUCAAACUACAUGAAAUAUAAAGUGUAUAUGUGUAUACCUAGUGAUAGAAAAUACAAAUAUCAUUUCCGGGGUACAAGAUCAAAGCGGGGCCCGGGGAUUUUACAGUCCUGGCGGGGACAGCUACCGAUCAGUUAGUGUGGCGAACGAGUCCCCGUAGGUAACGACGUCCUUUGGUAUCUAAAACUUCUAUCGUGAUCACCGUACGCACCCUUUUCUCACAAGUGAUGCAACAAAGGUCAUGUGGUGUUGCAGGAACGGUUCCGGGGCUUCAAGUGGGUGUAGUUGAAAACCCGGACCAUUAACGUGCUUCGACCGGGGACCAUCUGUAAUCCCUUCAACCUUCCCGUGGUGGGUAAGGGGGUUUGAAGGGAUUGUGUUGCGGUUUCUUUUACUCAACUCCGUGUACUUUUUUGUUCUCUAUGAUAAGUACAGGAGUAGCAACGUUUAUACAGAAUCUCCGUUAUUAUUUCAACAAUAAUAGUAUAAAGAACAAGAACUAUUUACAAAUAAGAGUUACAAUAUUAAACAGCCGCAAGGCCCUAGCCCCAGGGGUCUGAACGGACGGACGCCGGGUGCCGCACCGAGGUGAGUGCUCCCCGGUUCGGAGCGCUCCGCCUGCUGUGUUCUGGAGGAGCCCCCGUCGGAGUGGUUCGACCGAGCGCUCCCCGCCUCUCUAGUUCCGUUCCGCUUGGAGCGCUCCAAGGUUACUGCAUUCGGUACUGCUGGUUCUGGUCCGCCCGCGGUCGCGCGCAUCACAGGAGCAAAGGAGAAACCACGAUUCCUCCGUUCGCGUCCGCCCUUCAUGGCUCCGUAGUCCGUUUAUAAAGGUAUAUCCACGUUGCUCUGGUUCUGGUCGUCCUGCCGUCCUGCCUCCAGUGGCACCUCGGGUUCUGCCGCAGUGGUAGUCUCGGAAACCGUCCGCUUCUGGUGGAAAUCAGUCCUAUCUAACAUGAUCGACGGGGGAAUUUUAACCGGCAACAACCGAGGGAAGGGCGAGUUAUAAACCCUUCUCCUGGUCCCGUAGAUAUUUAUCCUGAUGGGUGGUGUCAUCCUCCGUUGAGUAGACUUGCCUAGUGUUGUCUCGGAGUCCUCUAAGUCUAGUAGGAGUGUGGGUGGUUCGUGUUCUUGUGGAACGGAGUCCUCCGACAAGAAGGGGAACAUAACAAGUAGGAGUCGGGUUCUCCGUUAGGUGCUGUGGUGUGACCUCAUCCCAUAAUGUGGUGUUGCUACCAGGCUUG
Molecule: ribosomal RNA, 4105 nt
Filed under: Triticum aestivum (bread wheat)
Lineage: Eukaryota; Viridiplantae; Streptophyta; Magnoliopsida; Poales; Poaceae
Description: partial small subunit ribosomal RNA
Source: RNAcentral